UACGUAGGGGGCGAGCGUUGUCCGGAAUCAUUGGGCGUAAAGCGCGUGUAGGCGGCCCGAUAAGUCCGCUGUGAAAGUCCAGGGCUCAACCCUGGGAUGCCGGUGGAUACUGUCGGGCUAGAGUGCGGAAGAGGCGAGUGGAAUUCCUGGUGUAGCGGUGAAAUGCGCAGAUAUCAGGAGGAACACCAAUUGCGAAGGCAGCUCGCUGGGACGUAACUGACGCUGAGACGCGAAAGCGUGGGGAGCAAACAGG
This 253-nucleotide ribosomal RNA is filed under the name uncultured bacterium. Its description in RNAcentral is "partial 16S ribosomal RNA". It matches the Rfam family "Bacterial small subunit ribosomal RNA", at positions 524 to 776 of the family's 1533-position model. The record is from RNAcentral.